AAGAAAGUAAUUAAGGGCGCAUGGCGGAUGCCUUGGCUCUCAGAGGCGAUGAAGGACGUGAUAAGCUGCGAUAAGCUUCGGGUAGGUGCAAAUAACCUAUUAUCCGGAGAUUUCCGAAUGGGGCAACCCACUGUACUGAAGGUACAGUAUCCUUUUAUAGGAAGCGAACGGGGUGAACUGAAACAUCUUAGUAACCCUAGGAGAAGAAAACAAUAGUGAUUCCGUAAGUAGUGGCGAGCGAACACGGAUUAGCCCAAACCAGUUUUGUUACGGCAAAGCUGGGGUUGUAGGACUACGUUGUGAUAGUUUAAAAUAUAGCAGAAGGUGUCUGGAAAGCACCACCAUAGAAGGUGAAAGUCCUGUAAGCGAAAUAUUGAUGACAUCUAGUAGUAUCCUGAGUAGUGCGGGACCGGAGAAAUCCUGUAUGAAUCUAGCGGCACCAUCCGCUAAGGCUAAAUACUCCUGAGAGACCGAUAGUGAACAAGUACCGUGAGGGAAAGGU
This 502-nucleotide ribosomal RNA is filed under the name Candidatus Omnitrophota bacterium. RNAcentral's name for it is "partial 23S ribosomal RNA". It matches the Rfam family "Bacterial large subunit ribosomal RNA", at positions 1 to 515 of the family's 2925-position model. Lineage: Bacteria; Pseudomonadati; Candidatus Omnitrophota. The record is from RNAcentral.